Molecule: ribosomal RNA, 567 nt
Filed under: uncultured bacterium
Lineage: Bacteria
Description: bacterial SSU rRNA
Rfam family: Bacterial small subunit ribosomal RNA
Source: RNAcentral
UACUCCUACGGGAGGCAGCAGUGGGGAAUAUUGGACAAUGGGGGCAACCCUGAUCCAGCAAUUCUGUGUGCACGAAGAAGGUUUUCGGAUUGUAAAGUGCUUUCAGCAGGGAAGAAGGAAGUGACGGUACCUGCAGAAGAAGCGACGGCUAAAUACGUGCCAGCAGCCGCGGUAAUACGUAUGUCGCGAGCGUUAUCCGGAAUUAUUGGGCAUAAAGGGCAUCUAGGCGGCCUGACAAGUCAGGGGUGAAAACCUGCGGCUCAACCGCAGGCCUGCCUUUGAAACUGUGAGGCUGGAGUACCGGAGAGGUGGACGGAACUGCACGAGUAGAGGUGAAAUUCGUAGAUAUGUGCAGGAAUGCCGAUGAUGAAGAUAGUUCACUGGACGGUAACUGACGCUGAAGUGCGAAAGCCGGGGGAGCAAACAGGAUUAGAUACCCUGGUAGUCCCGGCUGUAAACGAUGAUUACUGGGUGUGGGCAGGAAGACUGUCUGUGCCGAAGCGAAUGCGAUAAGUAAUCCGCCUGGGGAGUACGGCCGCAAGGCUGAAACUCAAAUGAAUUGACGGA